UGGCUCAGCAGUUGAGAGCGCUGGCUGAUCUACCAGAGAACCUGGGUUCAAUUCCCAG
This 58-nucleotide transfer RNA is filed under the name Neotoma lepida (desert woodrat). Lineage: Eukaryota; Metazoa; Chordata; Mammalia; Rodentia; Cricetidae. The record is from Rfam by way of RNAcentral.